AAAUGAAUAGACGGGGGCCCGCACAAGCGGAGGAACAUGUGGUUUAAUUCGAUGAUACGCGAGGAACCUUACCUGGGCUCGAACGCGGGGGGAAUGCCGGGGAAACCCGGCAGCCGGCAACGGCCGCCCGCGAGGUGCUGCAUGGUUGUCGUCAGCUCGUGCCGUGAGGUGUCGGGUUAAGUCCCAUAACGAGCGCAACCCCUACCGCCAGUUGCCAGCGGGUGAAGCCGGGGACUCUGGCGGGACUGCCGGCGUAAGCCGAGAGGAAGGCGGGGAUGACGUCAAAUCAGCACGGCCCUUACGUCCAGGGCUACACACGUGUUACAAUGGCCGGUACAGAGGGAGGCGACCCCGCGAGGGGGAGCGGAUCCCGAAAGCCGGUCGUAGUUCGGAUCGGGGUCUGGAACCCGACCCCGUGAAGCCGGAUUCGCUAGUAAUCGCGCAUCAGCCAUGGCGCGGUGAAUACGUUCCCGGGCCUUGUACACACCGCCCGU
RNAcentral lists this ribosomal RNA (494 nucleotides) under uncultured bacterium. RNAcentral's name for it is "bacterial SSU rRNA". It matches the Rfam family "Bacterial small subunit ribosomal RNA", at positions 903 to 1397 of the family's 1533-position model. The record is from RNAcentral.